GGCCGUUUUGUCCUGAGGGCCAGAGAAAGGGAGAAGGGGGUGGGGGGACAGCCACGUGGCCGCAGGAGGAUUUACAACAUUUUCUCUCGCCAUCGAUGUUAUCGCAAAAUGUGUGAGAGAAGCGGCUGCGCAGCCCGGACGGGAGCGUGAGGGCGCGGGCCAGGUAAGCAGCCCCGGCGGUUUCGCCGCGUACGGGACUGCGGGGCGACCGCGGGCACCAGCCACGCGCAGCGGCUCCGCGGGGUCUCGGCCGGGUCCGCGCUCUGAAGGAUCUCGAGUGCCAUGGGUGGUGCAGGCGGGACCCUCGAGCUGCAGCAUCUCCGGUGACCCGGGGUUGCCGAGGAGGUGGAGACCAGCACAGGUGGUGCGGCCCGGGCGCCUCCGAAUCCGGGGGUGGUCAAGACGGAUCCCCAAGGCUGAGGUCGGCAGUCCCGGGGACUCGCAGCUGUUGAGCCUGUGGAGACGCGGCCUCGUGACCGAGGCACCCUUCAGCAACCCGGGGGCAGCGUUCCAGAGACUGAACUUCUCAAAUCACUGCUUCAACAGCUUUUAA
Molecule: long non-coding RNA, 553 nt
Filed under: Gorilla gorilla gorilla (western lowland gorilla)
Lineage: Eukaryota; Metazoa; Chordata; Mammalia; Primates; Hominidae
Description: lncRNA (ENSGGOG00000044399.1)
Source: RNAcentral